Molecule: ribosomal RNA, 292 nt
Filed under: uncultured bacterium
Lineage: Bacteria
Description: partial 16S ribosomal RNA
Rfam family: Bacterial small subunit ribosomal RNA
Source: RNAcentral
GUGUCAGCAGCCGCGGUAAGACGAGGGAUCCUAGCGUUGUUCGGAAUCAUUGGGCGUAAAGCGUGUGUAGGCUGCCAUACAAGUCAGUUGUGAAAGCCCCGGGCUCAACCCGGGAAGUGCUUCUGAGACUGUUUGGCUUGAGUACUGGAGAGGAUAGUGGAAUUCCUGGUGUAGUGGUGAAAUACGUAGAUAUCAGGAGGAACACCGGUGGCGAAGGCGGCUAUCUGGCCAUGUACUGACGCUGAGACACGAAAGCGUGGGGAGCAAACAGGAUUAGAUACCCUAGUAGUCC